RNAcentral lists this long non-coding RNA (434 nucleotides) under Rattus norvegicus (Norway rat). RNAcentral's name for it is "long non-coding RNA NONRATT026036". The record is from RNAcentral. Lineage: Eukaryota; Metazoa; Chordata; Mammalia; Rodentia; Muridae.
GUUAGAGAAAGGGCCCUUCCUCAUGCAAAACUACAAGUUGAUUCCCUGUUGUCUGGGAUUCAGCUUCAAGCCAGGGGUUUAGUCUCUGGCCCUCGCUUCCUCCACGGACUCCUGGUAAUGCAGUUGAUGUGUAUUGCCUCCCACAUCCGCCAGGCUGCUCGAACUCCUGUCCUGGUGUGUCUCCCAGUCGCUCCUGAUUAUGUGGGGCCUCUCUUAGGCAUUGUGGCCAAAAGUGCUUCCCUAGUACUGAGGUGGGGUUUGUGUCUUGUGCUUCUGUGGCUCAGCGUUGACUGCUGCUGUACUUGCUGUUAAAUACUACAGUUGUGAAUUUUCUCUUUCCCAUUAUGCUGUUUCCUGAGGAUAGUAAUGACAUGUCAUUGAUUCCUGUGUCCCUAGUGUCUCCCACAUGACAAUAAACAAAGCAGGAAACGCAA